GACGAACGCUGGCGGCGUGCUUAACACAUGCAAGUCGAACGGAAAGGCCCUGCUCUUGUGGGGUGCUCGAGUGGCGAACGGGUGAGUAACACGUGAGUAACCUGCCCUUGACUUUGGGAUAACUUCACGAAACUGGGGCUAAUACCGGAUAGGAGCUCCUGCUGCAUGGUGGGGGUUGGAAAGUUUCGGCUGUUGUGGAUGGUCUCGCGGCUUAUCCGCUUGUUUGUGGGGUAGUGGCUUACCAAGGCUUUGACGGGUAGCCGGCCUGAGAGGGUGACCGGCCACAUUGGUACUGAGAUAGGGCCCAGACGCCUACGGGAGGCAACAGGGGGAAAUCUUGCGCAAUGGGCGGAAGCCAGAUGCAAAGACGCCGCGUGCGGGAUGACCGGUUUCGGGUGGUGAACAGCUUUCGCCUGUGACGAAGCGUGAGUGACGGUACUGGGUAAAGAAGCACCGGCUAACUACGUG
This 468-nucleotide ribosomal RNA is filed under the name uncultured bacterium. Its description in RNAcentral is "partial 16S ribosomal RNA". It matches the Rfam family "Bacterial small subunit ribosomal RNA", at positions 28 to 507 of the family's 1533-position model. The record is from RNAcentral.